This 105-nucleotide small nuclear RNA is filed under the name Stegodyphus mimosarum. The record is from RNAcentral. Lineage: Eukaryota; Metazoa; Arthropoda; Arachnida; Araneae; Eresidae.
CUAAUAUUUUCGUGCUAGGUUUACUGAAAUUGGAAAGAUACUGAGAAAAUUAGCAUUGCCGUGAACGAGGAUGGCACGCAAGAUUGUAAAACGUUCUACAUUUUU